AAUGAAAUGCCUGAAUAAAGGGUUAUUUUGAUAGAAUAAAUUAUGUAAAGCUUUUUACUUUCAUUA
This 66-nucleotide transfer RNA is filed under the name Paroster macrosturtensis. Its description in RNAcentral is "tRNA-Ile". Lineage: Eukaryota; Metazoa; Arthropoda; Insecta; Coleoptera; Dytiscidae. The record is from RNAcentral.